RNAcentral lists this long non-coding RNA (299 nucleotides) under Elaeis guineensis (African oil palm). Its description in RNAcentral is "long non-coding RNA (EGUI_LNC047426)". The record is from RNAcentral. Lineage: Eukaryota; Viridiplantae; Streptophyta; Magnoliopsida; Arecales; Arecaceae.
CCUUUUAUAUUUUCUUGUUUUUAAUCCGAAUAUGCUAUAUUUGUUGGAUGUAUAAACUCUAAAUAGGUCCUAUUUACAAUAUUGCUGAUUGAUAUGUCAUUAUUUAAAUGUACAUUGGAUCUAUUAUAAAUCUAUAUGAUCUUAAUGAUAUAAACAAAUUGACUCAUUUCCUUAUUUGGUUACAUGGACUUGCUAAUUCUUUAAAAGUAUGUUAAAAAUUCCGUGCUGAGACCUUAAUUGUUCUAAAUUUUCAUUAUUUCUUGCCAUGAGGAUUGAAUCUAUUGACAUGUUGUCUUCAU